UACGUAGGUGGCGAGCGUUGUCCGGAAUUACUGGGUGUAAAGGGUGCGUAGGCGGAUUUGCAAGUCAGGUGUGAAACCUAUCGGCUUAACCGGUAGCCUGCACUUGAAACUGUAAGUCUUGAGUGGUGAAGAGGUAAGCGGAAUUCCUAGUGUAGCGGUGAAAUGCGUAGAUAUUAGGAGGAACACCAGUGGCGAAGGCGGCUUACUGGGCACUAACUGACGCUGAGGCACGAAAGCAUGGGGAGCAAACAGGGUUAGAUACCCUGGUAGUCCAUGCCGUAAACGAUGAUUACUAGGUGUAGGGGGUAUCGACCCCCCCUGUGCCGCAGUUAACACAAUAAGUAAUCCACCUGGGGAGUACGGCCGCAAGGUUGAA
RNAcentral lists this ribosomal RNA (376 nucleotides) under uncultured bacterium. RNAcentral's name for it is "bacterial SSU rRNA". It matches the Rfam family "Bacterial small subunit ribosomal RNA", at positions 524 to 898 of the family's 1533-position model. The record is from RNAcentral.